This 76-nucleotide transfer RNA is filed under the name Nanobdellota archaeon. RNAcentral describes it as "tRNA-Gln". It matches the Rfam family "tRNA". Rfam says of the family: Transfer RNA (tRNA) molecules are approximately 80 nucleotides in length. Their secondary structure includes four short double-helical elements and three loops (D, anti-codon, and T loops). Lineage: Archaea; Nanobdellati; Nanobdellota. The record is from RNAcentral.
AGCCCCAUAGUAUAGUGGCCAAGUAUGAUUGCCUCUGGAGCAAUAGACCGAGGUUCGAAUCCUCGUGGGGCUACCA